Molecule: ribosomal RNA, 484 nt
Filed under: uncultured bacterium
Lineage: Bacteria
Description: partial 16S ribosomal RNA
Rfam family: Bacterial small subunit ribosomal RNA
Source: RNAcentral
AUUGAACGCUGGCGGCAGGCCUAACACAUGCAAGUCGAGCGGAUGAAGGGAGCUUGCUCCUGGAUUCAGCGGCGGACGGGUGAGUAAUGCCUAGGAAUCUGCCUGGUAGUGGGGGAUAACGUCCGGAAACGGGCGCUAAUACCGCAGACGUCCUGAGGGAGAAAGAGGGGGAGCUUCGGACCUCACGCUAUCAGAUGAGCCUAGGUCGGAUUAGCUAGUUGGUGGGGUAAAGGCCUACCAAGGCGACGAUCCGUAACUGGUCGGAGAGGAUGAUCAGUCACACUGGAACUGAGACACCGUCCAGACUCCUACGGGAGGCAGCAGUGUGGAAUAUUGGACAGUGGGCGAAAGCCUGAUCCAGCCAUGCCGCGUGUGUGAAGACGGUCUUCGGAUUGUAAAGCCCUUUUAGUUGGGAGGAACGGCAGUAAGUUAAUACCUUGCUGUUUUGACGUUACCAACAGAAUAAGCACCGGCUAACUUCGUG